RNAcentral lists this non-coding RNA (45 nucleotides) under Schistosoma margrebowiei. Lineage: Eukaryota; Metazoa; Platyhelminthes; Trematoda; Strigeidida; Schistosomatidae. The record is from RNAcentral.
AUCUAACUGAUGAGUCUUAAACAGGACGAAAUGCGCGUUCUGAAU